This 69-nucleotide transfer RNA is filed under the name Cnemaspis karsticola. RNAcentral's name for it is "tRNA-Ala". RNAcentral also lists the same sequence under 1 other name. Lineage: Eukaryota; Metazoa; Chordata; Lepidosauria; Squamata; Gekkonidae. The record is from RNAcentral.
GAGGUUUUAGCUUAAUUAAAGUGUCUAAGUUGCAGUUAGAUGUUGUAAAUUAGAGUUUUACAGGCCUUC